ACGGCCGUACCAUGCUGAAUAUACCGGUUCUCGUUAGAUCACCGAAGUCAAGCAUCAUUGGGCGCUGCCAGUACUUGGGUGGGUGACCACCUGGGAACACUGCGUGCCGUU
Caerostris darwini is the source of this 111-nucleotide non-coding RNA. NCBI's taxonomy places the organism in Eukaryota, Metazoa, Arthropoda, Arachnida, Araneae, Araneidae. The record is from the annotation of a GenBank genome assembly.